This 119-nucleotide ribosomal RNA is filed under the name Pteropus alecto (black flying fox). Lineage: Eukaryota; Metazoa; Chordata; Mammalia; Chiroptera; Pteropodidae. The record is from RNAcentral. RNAcentral also lists the same sequence under 1 other name.
GUCUACGGGCAUGCCACCCUGAACAAGCCCGAUCCCGUCUGAUCUCAGAAGCUAAGCAGGGUUGGGCCUGGUUAGUCCUUGGAUGGGAGAACACCAAGGAAGACCAAGUGCUGUAGGCA